UUCAUAUUACCUCCGUCCGAAAAUACUUGUCCUAAAGAUGAAUGUAUCUAGACUUAUUUUAAUUGUAGAUACAUCCAUUGUAUGCAUUUUUAGGACAAGUAUUUUCGGACGGAGGGAGUAUUAA
Molecule: non-coding RNA, 124 nt
Organism: Hordeum vulgare subsp. vulgare (domesticated barley)
Lineage: Eukaryota; Viridiplantae; Streptophyta; Magnoliopsida; Poales; Poaceae
Source: Rfam